GCGGGGGAGAUUGCUUCGGUAAUUGACCUAGCGGCGGACGGGUGAGUAAUACUUAGGAAUCUGCCUAUUAAUGGGGGACAACAUCUCGAAAGGGAUGCUAAUACCGCAUACGCCCUACGGGGGAAAGCAGGGGAUCACUUGUGACCUUGCGUUAAUAGAUGAGCCUAAGUCGGAUUAGCUAGUUGGUGGGGUAAAGGCCUACCAAGGCGACGAUCUGUAGCGGGUCUGAGAGGAUGAUCCGCCACACUGGGACUGAGACACGGCCCAGACUCCUACGGGAGGCAGCAGUGGGGAAUAUUGGACAAUGGGGGGAACCCUGAUCCAGCCAUGCCGCGUGUGUGAAGAAGGCCUUAUGGUUGUAAAGCACUUUAAGCGAGGAGGAGGCUCUUUUGGUUAAUACCCAAGAUGAGUGGACGUUACUCGCAGAAUAAGCACCGGCUAACUCUGUGCCAGCAGCCGCGGUAAUACAGAGGGUGCGAGCGUUAAUCGGAUUUACUGGGCGUAAAGCGUGCGUAGGCGGCUUUUUAAGUCGGAUGUGAAAUCCCCGAGCUUAACUUGGGAAUUGCAUUCGAUACUGGGAAGCUAGAGUAUGGGAGAGGAUGGUAGAAUUCCAGGUGUAGCGGUGAAAUGCGUAGAGAUCUGGAGGAAUACCGAUGGCGAAGGCAGCCAUCUGGCCUAAUACUGACGCUGAGGUACGAAAGCAUGGGGAGCAAACAGGAUUAGAUACCCUGGUAGUCCAUGCCGUAAACGAUGUCUACUAGCCGUUGGGGUCUUUGAGACUUUAGUGGCGCAGCUAACGCGAUAAGUAGACCGCCUGGGGAGUACGGUCGCAAGACUAAAACUCAAAUGAAUUGACGGGGGCCCGCACAAGCGGUGGAGCAUGUGGUUUAAUU
RNAcentral lists this ribosomal RNA (893 nucleotides) under Acinetobacter bereziniae. RNAcentral's name for it is "bacterial SSU rRNA". It matches the Rfam family "Bacterial small subunit ribosomal RNA", at positions 66 to 951 of the family's 1533-position model. The record is from RNAcentral. Lineage: Bacteria; Pseudomonadati; Pseudomonadota; Gammaproteobacteria; Moraxellales; Moraxellaceae.